AAUCAACGCUGGCGGCGUGCCUAACACAUGCAAGUCGAACGAGAAAGGCGACUUCGGUUGCUGAGUAGAGUGGCGAACGGGUGAGUAGCGCGUGGGUGAUCUGCCCUGAAGUGGGGGAUAACCUCGCGAAAGCGGGGCUAAUACCGCAUGAGCCGGUUCAUUCGGUUGAACCGGGAAAAGCUUCGGUUGCUUCAGGAGGAGCCCGCGUCCGAUUAGCUAGUUGGUGAGGUAAGAGCUUACCAAGGCGACGAUCGGUAACCGGUCUGAGAGGACGGACGGUCACACUGGGACUGAGACACGGCCCAGACUCCUACGGGAGGCAGCAGUGGGGAAUUUUGGGCAAUGGGGGAAACCCUGACCCAGCAACGCCGCGUGGAGGAUGAAGUUUUUCGGAACGUAAACUCCUGUCCAGAGGGACGAAGCAAGUGACGGUACCUCUGGAGGAAGCCCCGGCUAACUCCGUG
Molecule: ribosomal RNA, 464 nt
Filed under: uncultured bacterium
Lineage: Bacteria
Description: bacterial SSU rRNA
Rfam family: Bacterial small subunit ribosomal RNA
Source: RNAcentral